CCUACGGGAGGCAGCAGUGGGGGAUAUUGCACAAUGGGGGAAACCCUGAUGCAGCGACGCCGCGUGUGGGAAGACGGUCCUCUGGAUUGUAAACCACUGUCCCCAGGGACGAAGAUGACGGUACCUGGGGAGGAAGCUCCGGCUAACCACGUGCCAGCAGCCGCGGUAAUACGUAGGGAGCGAGCGUUGUCCGGAAUUACUGGGUGAAAAGGGAGCGUAGGCGGGGAUGCAAGUUGGGUGUCAAAACUACCGGCUAAACUGGUAGUCGCACUUGAAACUGCAGCUCUUGAGUGAAGUAGAGGCAGGCGGAAUUCCUGGUGUAGCGGUGAAAUGCGUAGAUAUUAGGAGGAACACCAGUGGCGAAGGCGACCUGCUGGGCUUUUACUGACGCUGAGGCUCGAAAGUGUGGGGAGCAAACAGGAUUAGAUACCCCAGUAGUC
RNAcentral lists this ribosomal RNA (440 nucleotides) under uncultured bacterium. RNAcentral describes it as "partial 16S ribosomal RNA". It matches the Rfam family "Bacterial small subunit ribosomal RNA", at positions 338 to 795 of the family's 1533-position model. The record is from RNAcentral.